Molecule: ribosomal RNA, 1037 nt
Filed under: uncultured bacterium
Lineage: Bacteria
Description: bacterial SSU rRNA
Rfam family: Bacterial small subunit ribosomal RNA
Source: RNAcentral
CUCCUACGGGAGGCAGCAGUGGGGGAUAUUGCACAAUGGGGGAACCCUGAUGCAGCAACGCCGCGUGAAGGAAGACGGUUUUCGGAUUGUAAACUUCUGUUCUUAGUGAAGAAUAAUGACGGUAGCUAAGGGAGCAAGCCACGGCUAACUACGUGCCAGCAGCCGCGGUAAUACGUAGGUGGCAAGCGUUGUCCGGAAUUACUGGGUGUAAAGGGAGCGUAGGCGGGAUGCCAAGUCAGCUGUGAAAACUAUGGGCUUAACCUGUAGACUGCAGUUGAAACUGGUAUUCUUGAGUGAAGUAGAGGUUGGCGGAAUUCCGAGUGUAGCGGUGAAAUGCGUAGAUAUUCGGAGGAACACCGGUGGCGAAGGCGGCCAACUGGGCUUUAACUGACGCUGAGGCUCGAAAGUGUGGGGAGCAAACAGGAUUAGAUACCCUGGUAGUCCACACUGUAAACGAUGAUAACUAGGUGUGGGGGGUCUGACCCCUUCCGUGCCGCAGCUAACGCAAUAAGUUAUCCACCUGGGGAGUACGACCGCAAGGUUGAAACUCAAAGGAAUUGACGGGGACCCGCACAAGCAGUGGAUUAUGUGGUUUAAUUCGAAGCAACGCGAAGAACCUUACCAGCACUUGACAUCCGACUAACGAAGUAGAGAUACAUUAGGUGCCCUUCGGGGAAAGUCGAGACAGGUGGUGCAUGGUUGUCGUCAGCUCGUGUCGUGAGAUGUUGGGUUAAGUCCCGCAACGAGCGCAACCCCUGCCAUUAGUUGCUACGCAAGAGCACUCUAAUGGGACCGCUACCGACAAGGUGGAGGAAGGUGGGGACGACGUCAAAUCAUCAUGCCCCUUAUGUGCUGGGCUACACACGUAAUACAAUGGCCAUCAACAAAGAGAAGCAAUACCGCGAGGUGGAGCAAAACUUCAAAAAUGGUCUCAGUUCGGACUGCAGGCUGCAACCCGCCUGCACGAAGUUGGAAUUGCUAGUAAUCGUGGAUCAGCAUGCCACGGUGAAUACGUUCCCGGGCCUUGUACACACCGC